CUUGGUCAUUUAGAGGAAGUAAAAGUCGUAACAAGGUUUCCGUAGGUGAACCUGCGGAAGGAUCAUUAGUGAAUUAAACAUGCUUGGUGUCUUCGCUUCGGCAAGGCCCUUGCUUAACUCACAUCCCAACACCUGUGAACUGUAAGGCGCAUGACUAGGUUCGCCCAAGUCAUCGUCUGCCCUUUUUAACAAACAAUUAAUGUAACAAACGUAGUCUUAACCUAAUAAAACUUUCAACAACGGAUCUCUUGGCUCUCGCAUCGAUGAAGAACGCAGCGAAAUGCGAUAAGUAAUGUGAAUUGCAGAAUUCAGUGAAUCAUCGAAUCUUUGAACGCACCUUGCGCUCUUUGGUAUUCCGAAGAGCAUGCCUGUUUGAGUGUCAUGAAAAUAUCAACCUUGACUUGGGUUUUGUGCUCUAGUCUCGGCUUGGAAUUGGGUGCUUGCCGCUUUUACGAGCGGCUCACCUUAAAUGUAUUAGCUGGAUCUGUCUUUGAGACUUGGUUUGACUUGGCGUAAUAAGUACGCUAAGGACAUUCUUCGGAGUGGCCUCGUUUCUAGGACGCUUGUCCGCUUUCCAAUACAAGUUCCACCUCGUGGACAUGACUUUUUAUUAUCUGGCCUCAAAUCAGGUAGGACUACCCGCUGAACUUAAGCAUAUCAAUAAGCGGAGGA
This 672-nucleotide ribosomal RNA is filed under the name uncultured fungus. Its description in RNAcentral is "eukaryotic LSU rRNA". The stretch from base 229 to 382 matches the Rfam family "5.8S ribosomal RNA". Lineage: Eukaryota; Fungi. The record is from RNAcentral.